Long non-coding RNA from Lemur catta (Ring-tailed lemur), 278 nucleotides. RefSeq lists it as uncharacterized. Lineage: Eukaryota; Metazoa; Chordata; Mammalia; Primates; Lemuridae. The transcript is spliced from 3 exons. The record is from RefSeq and is a predicted model, not a curated record.
UCAAACAAUCCUCCUGCCUCAGCCUCCCAAGUAGCUGGGACUACAGGUGUGCACCACUGUGCACCUCAAUGAGUACAAAUAUCUGGAUGCCUCGAUGGAAAAAGAUCUUCUUACAGUCAGACUGCCCAGAAAGAAGGGCAUUCUCUGACUCUAGAAGAACCAACUGCAAGUGGAGUGAAUGAUCCUGGGCCAUCUUUCACAACCAGUAGAGGACUGAAGCCAAUGGGUGAAAACUUCAGCCUCCUGUUUCUUCAGGUCCUCUGCCAGUUUCUGCUGUG